ACGUAGGAUGCAAGCGUUGUCCGGAUUUAUUGGGCGUAAAGAGUUCGUAGGUGGUUUGUUAAGUCUGGUGUUAAAGAUCGGGGCCCAACCCCGGGACAGCACUGGAUACUGGCAGACUGGAGUGCAGUAGAGGCAAGCGGAAUUCCCAGUGUAGCGGUGAAAUGCGUAGAUAUUGGGAAGAACACCGGUGGCGUAAGCGGCUUGCUGGGCUGUAACUGACACUGAGGAACGAAAGCCAGGGUAGCGAAUGGGA
Molecule: ribosomal RNA, 253 nt
Filed under: uncultured prokaryote
Description: partial 16S ribosomal RNA
Rfam family: Bacterial small subunit ribosomal RNA
Source: RNAcentral